CCUACGGGUGGCAGCAGUGAGGAAUAUUGGUCAAUGGACGCGAGCCUGAACCAGCCAAGUAGCGUGAAGGAUGACUGCCCUCCGGGUUGUAAACUUCUUUUAUAAAGGAAUAAAGUGAGGCAAGUGUGCCUUUUUGUAUGUACUUUAUGAAUACGGAUCGGCUAACUCCGUGCCAUCAGCCGCGGUAAUACGGAGGGUCCGAGCGUUAUCCGGAUUUAUUGGGUUUAAAGGGAGCGAAGAUGGGUUGUUAAGUCAGUUGUGAAAGUUUGCGGCUCAACCGGAAAAUUGCAAUUGAUACUGGCAGCCUUGAGUACAGGUGAGGUAGGCGGAAUUCGUGGUGGAGCGGUGAAAUGCUUAGAUAUCAGGAAGAACACCGAUUGCGAAGGCAGCUUACUAAACUGCCACUGACGUUGAGGCUCGAAAGUGUGGGGAGCAAACAGGAUUAGAUACCCCGGUAGUC
RNAcentral lists this ribosomal RNA (460 nucleotides) under uncultured bacterium. RNAcentral describes it as "partial 16S ribosomal RNA". It matches the Rfam family "Bacterial small subunit ribosomal RNA", at positions 338 to 795 of the family's 1533-position model. The record is from RNAcentral.